Molecule: ribosomal RNA, 1636 nt
Filed under: Staphylococcus aureus
Lineage: Bacteria; Bacillati; Bacillota; Bacilli; Caryophanales; Staphylococcaceae
Description: partial 23S ribosomal RNA
Rfam family: Bacterial large subunit ribosomal RNA
Source: RNAcentral
GAGAAUGCCGGUGUGAGUAGCGAAAGACGGGUGAGAAUCCCGUCCACCGAUUGACUAAGGUUUCCAGAGGAAGGCUCGUCCGCUCUGGGUUAGUCGGGUCCUAAGCUGAGGCCGACAGGCGUAGGCGAUGGAUAACAGGUUGAUAUUCCUGUACCACCUAUAAUCGUUUUAAUCGAUGGGGGGACGCAGUAGGAUAGGCGAAGCGUGCGAUUGGAUUGCACGUCUAAGCAGUAAGGCUGAGUAUUAGGCAAAUCCGGUACUCGUUAAGGCUGAGCUGUGAUGGGGAGAAGACAUUGUGUCUUCGAGUCGUUGAUUUCACACUGCCGAGAAAAGCCUCUAGAUAGAAAAUAGGUGCCCGUACCGCAAACCGACACAGGUAGUCAAGAUGAGAAUUCUAAGGUGAGCGAGCGAACUCUCGUUAAGGAACUCGGCAAAAUGACCCCGUAACUUCGGGAGAAGGGGUGCUCUUUAGGGUUAACGCCCAGAAGAGCCGCAGUGAAUAGGCCCAAGCGACUGUUUAUCAAAAACACAGGUCUCUGCUAAACCGUAAGGUGAUGUAUAGGGGCUGACGCCUGCCCGGUGCUGGAAGGUUAAGAGGAGUGGUUAGCUUCUGCGAAGCUACGAAUCGAAGCCCCAGUAAACGGCGGCCGUAACUAUAACGGUCCUAAGGUAGCGAAAUUCCUUGUCGGGUAAGUUCCGACCCGCACGAAAGGCGUAACGAUUUGGGCACUGUCUCAACGAGAGACUCGGUGAAAUCAUAGUACCUGUGAAGAUGCAGGUUACCCGCGACAGGACGGAAAGACCCCGUGGAGCUUUACUGUAGCCUGAUAUUGAAAUUCGGCACAGCUUGUACAGGAUAGGUAGGAGCCUUUGAAACGUGAGCGCUAGCUUACGUGGAGGCGCUGGUGGGAUACUACCCUAGCUGUGUUGGCUUUCUAACCCGCACCACUUAUCGUGGUGGGAGACAGUGUCAGGCGGGCAGUUUGACUGGGGCGGUCGCCUCCUAAAAGGUAACGGAGGCGCUCAAAGGUUCCCUCAGAAUGGUUGGAAAUCAUUCAUAGAGUGUAAAGGCAUAAGGGAGCUUGACUGCGAGACCUACAAGUCGAGCAGGGUCGAAAGACGGACUUAGUGAUCCGGUGGUUCCGCAUGGAAGGGCCAUCGCUCAACGGAUAAAAGCUACCCCGGGGAUAACAGGCUUAUCUCCCCCAAGAGUUCACAUCGACGGGGAGGUUUGGCACCUCGAUGUCGGCUCAUCGCAUCCUGGGGCUGUAGUCGGUCCCAAGGGUUGGGCUGUUCGCCCAUUAAAGCGGUACGCGAGCUGGGUUCAGAACGUCGUGAGACAGUUCGGUCCCUAUCCGUCGUGGGCGUAGGAAAUUUGAGAGGAGCUGUCCUUAGUACGAGAGGACCGGGAUGGACAUACCUCUGGUGUACCAGUUGUCGUGCCAACGGCAUAGCUGGGUAGCUAUGUGUGGACGGGAUAAGUGCUGAAAGCAUCUAAGCAUGAAGCCCCCCUCAAGAUGAGAUUUCCCAACUUCGGUUAUAAGAUCCCUUAAAGAUGAUGAGGUUAAUAGGUUCGAGGUGGAAGCAUGGUGACAUGUGUAGCUGACGAAUACUAAUCGAUCGAAGACUUAAUCAA